GGAGAGGUCGCAUAGUGGUCUAGUGCACCGCCUUGGAAAGGCGGCAUACCCGAAAGGGUAUCGUGGGUUCAAAUCCCACCCUCUCCGCCA
This 90-nucleotide transfer RNA is filed under the name Candidatus Wildermuthbacteria bacterium. RNAcentral's name for it is "tRNA-Ser". It matches the Rfam family "tRNA". Rfam says of the family: Transfer RNA (tRNA) molecules are approximately 80 nucleotides in length. Their secondary structure includes four short double-helical elements and three loops (D, anti-codon, and T loops). The record is from RNAcentral. Lineage: Bacteria; Candidatus Wildermuthiibacteriota.